CAGACCAAUCCACUCAAACCUCUGUUGGGACGGUGGGACAGGCUGGAAGGGCAAAGGUCAGGGAUCCACCAAAAUAGCACAUGACUUUUAAACUGAGAUCUCUGAAACAAAAGUGUAAAGAGGCACUUCUGAGUGAAAUGAGGAGCCACAUCGUUGCUGAGGAAGCUCAUAUAGAGUAUAUUUGAUAAAAUAUUAAAUAUAAUCAGUGCAACAAAGGAGCUUUCACGUUCUCACUUAGUUGCAACACCUGAUUGGAGUAAAUUCUUACUUUUUUAAAUUUACACACAUGAACAUAUUCCUAAAACAAAGUUUGACAGGAUAAACUCCCUUUAUAGCUUAUUUAAAGAUUGACCAGAUCUCAAAAACCAUGAUUUAAACUACAAAGUGUAAUUAAAUAUUCUUACCUCUAGAUGUUGCUCUAGUGUUACACACCCAAGUCAAAUUUUACUUUUAUUUUUUUUACAAACAUACAUCUUUGCACAUUGCUUUCAAUCCCUUGACGCCUUAAGUUAUUUCCAUUUCUAUUGUGGCUCUUCGGCUUUGAAAAAACAAAAGAAAUCAUUCAAAUUUUUAAAAAUAACUUUGUAGUUUUGGUUAAUGUGCUUUAGUUUGUUAGGUUAGUGGUGUUUUUUGUUGGAAUAAACUCAAGAAUUCUAAAAUUAAAGAGUUGGAUUUACAGUAUAAAAAAAAAAAAUUGGGAUUCUGCGCUAGUGUUUUCUUUUUAAUAGUAAAAGGAGAAAGAGGACAAAAGCGCAUCAUAGACAUAAUAAUAGAAAACUCCCUGUUUUGACAGAGGAUGUACUGUGUUUUAUUUUGAAAGGAUCUUGUACAUGCUGCUGUCAAAAGAAAAAUUAAAUUAAAUUUAUUGAAGGAACAAUAUUACAGUGUUAUAAUUAAAUUAUUGUGCAUAUAAAAGUAAAAAAAAAAAAAAAAAGAGAAUAGGUAGAAUAGCCAUAAAAGCAUAAAUAAAGUUUGUUUUUCUAAACGGUGGGGUGGGUUCUUGCUGAGUUUGAUUUAGACAGAAACUGGGCCAAAUGGCUUUUUUAGUGUUAAAGGUCUCAGACUCCUGGUCUAGGGCAUCGGAGUGAACAUUUAUAAAACUUAUACUUAGUUUCACUCACUCUACAGAUAUUUGAAGUAUGUUUUAUCGUGUCCUAUUUUCCUUUUAAUGUACUGUAUAUUUUCAAAAAAAGAUGUCAUCAUAAAAAAAAAUGUCACUUCUGUCACUGCUUUCAAUUAGUGGCUAAAUUAAAGCAGCAGAAGUAGUUUGAUGCAUAUUUGCAUCAAUAGGCGUUAAAUUAAGACUGAUGUCUAGUUUUAGUUUUGUUAAAUAGAAAAGAUCAAAGUGCAGCUCUUUAAUUAAAACUUUGGCAAAAACUCAAUAAAAUAUUAAUUACAUUUAAAGCUUUAAGUUAAAAUGAUGAAUAUUCUUUUUAGUACCACCUGACUGAAACUGGGCUGCAAAGUACAGUUUUCCAGAGGAGAAAAGAACGAAUUUUAAAUUUAAUGCAGAACGUUUUUGAUUAAAUUUCAAGUAAACUCAAACUCGAUUUAAAGUUUUAAUAUAGACUUUAUGUGUUAGUGUUGUAUAACAGAAGAAUUUGUUGCAUUGUUGUGGAAAAGCUUGUUGAAACCAGAAGUUUACAUACAGCACAUAAAACACAUUUUUUAAAAAGUAAAAUGUAAACUUUUCCUGUUUUAGGUCAAUUACAAUUAACUAAAUUAUUUCUAUUUGCUAUAUGUCAGAAUAAUGAGACUAGUUUUUUUUAGACAAGUUUUUAUUACUUUUAUCAAAGUAAAAAGUUUACAUGCGGUUAGAUCACUAUGCCUUCAAACAAUUUGGGAAACCCCAUAUGGUGAGGUAAUCUUUUGGAAGCUUCUAAUACGUUAUUGACAGCAUUUGAGUUUAUUAGAAACACACCUGUGGAUGGAUAUAUAUUACAGCACAUUUGAAACACACUUGCUUGUUUGUAAGACAUCAUGGGACAUUCAAAAGAAAUCAGUCAAGACAUAAGGCAGACAAUUUGCACAAGUCUGGUUCUUCCAUGGGUGCCAUUUCCAGACUGUAUGCAAGUAUUAACAUCAGGUGAACGUCCAGUCAUCGUAUUGCUCAGAAAGGAUUUGGGUUCUGUGUCCCAGAGAUGAACAUACUUCGGUCCGAUAUGUCCAGAACAACCCAAGGACGAAGACAAAAGAUAUUGUGCAGAUGAUGGCUGAAGGUGGUGAGAAUGCGUCAUUAUCAACAGUGAAACUGGUACAGUACUGUAAGGUACAGACACGGGCUUACAGGCUACUCUGCCAGGAAGAAGCCUUUACUCCUAAAGAAAUAUAGAAAAGCCAGAUUAAAGGUUGCUAAUGCAAACACGGAUAAAGACUUUAAUUUUUGGAGAAAUGAUCUUAUGUUUGGAGGAAAAAUGGGGAAGCUGGCAGGCCUCUGAACACUUCACUAUUUAGUGCAUUUCACAAAGUUGAUGGUAUCAGGAGGAAGUAACAAUGUGUGUAAAUAUUGAUGCAACGUUUGAAGACAUCAGCCAUGAAGUUGAAUUUUAGGCACAAAUGGACAAAUGGACCCAAGGCAUACUGCCAAACUGGUUACAAAGUGGCUUAAGGAUAACAAAGUCAAUGUUUUGGAGUGGCUAUCACAAAGCCUGGAUCUAAAUCCUAUUGAACAUUUAUAGUCAGAGCUGAAUAGGCGUGUACAGGCAAGGCAAACUACAAAUUUGGCUCAGUUACACCAGCUCUGUCAGGAGGAAUGGGUCAAAAUCUUGUGAGAAGCUUGUGGAAGGAUUUCCAAGUCGUUUGACCCAAGUGCUGCAGUUUAAAGGCAAUAGUACCAAAUACUACCAAAUACUAUAGUACUAAAUACUAAUUAUAUGAAUUUUGACUUUGAUAAAAGGAAGAAAAACUUGUCUAAAAAAACCUGUAGUCUCAUUAUUCUGACAUCUAGAAAAUAGAAAUAAUUUUGUUGAUUACAAUUGACCUAAAAAAGGAAAAGUUUACUUUUAUUUCAUGUCUGACGGUGGUGUAACUUCUGGUUUUAACAGUAUGCCCUAAAGAGCUGGUGACAUGUCUAACUCUGGAGAUCAAAUCAAGUACUGGCAUAUUGACAAAAUCAUUUUAAACUUUUUGAAUCCUUGUAUAAGACUUCAAAAAAAAUUUCUUUCCAAACAUUUCCAUUAAGACCUUGCACUACUAAUUUAUGCCACCUUUCCUUACAUCAUUAUUUUUUCAUUAUUUAAUUUUAGUAUUAUUUAUUUAUUUUUCUCUUGUGAGCUGAGGAAAUUAAAUUGUGUAAGCUCUUUUUUGUUAUACACGCCAGACUGGAAAUAAUGUUUUGCUGUGAUGUUUUUAAAAAUCACAUGUUAUUUUUAUUUCUUUUUUUAAGACUAAAAUAUACUGCAAAAAAUAUUAAUUUGAAAAACCAGCUAAUUUUACAAGCAAAAAUGGAGAGUCAAAUUAGCAGUGUAAUCUGACUUUCUUUUUUUAAAUAAAGUUUCAAACAAUAUUUAAAUCUUUUAGGUAUAGGGUGAAAUAUUAGGUUCUUAAAUUAUAUUAAUAUAAAAAUAAUAGAUUUAUUAAAUUCUAAAGUGUUAUAAGUGUCAUGGUGCCUCUGUCAGACUCCUCCCCCUCCCAGCUCUGCUCUGCUCUGCUCCAGACUCACCAGCUGUGACUACUCAUCUCAUCAGCUACCUGCUCUACAUAAGGAGACCCAGCUCCAGCAUUCUUCGCCAGUUUGUUAACCCUGAUGGUUUACCUCAUGCCACGAGUGUCACCUGAGUCUGACACCACCUCGAGCAGCAGCUUCAUUCUACUCAUGCUGACGCUUCCCACCUUCAAGAGCCUCAGCUUCCGUGCUCCUCAAGAUCUCCAGCCACGCCCCUUUACCAAGAGCUCAAGCCACGCUUACCCACAACACUGCUUGGACCAGCAAAGAAAAUAAACUUUCUACUUACCAAC
This is a non-coding RNA of Oryzias latipes (Japanese medaka), 3957 nucleotides long. The record is from RefSeq and is a predicted model, not a curated record. Lineage: Eukaryota; Metazoa; Chordata; Actinopteri; Beloniformes; Adrianichthyidae.